RNAcentral lists this long non-coding RNA (1325 nucleotides) under Homo sapiens (human). RNAcentral's name for it is "long intergenic non-protein coding RNA 320". Lineage: Eukaryota; Metazoa; Chordata; Mammalia; Primates; Hominidae. The record is from RNAcentral.
GUUCUUUAGUAGAAGGAUAACAUGACAUAGCAGGAAUAAUACUGCCUUUUCUUUCUGGCAUGGAUCAAGAGAAAAGAAAAUACAAGAAAACAGACAGAAGCAAGGCAAGGUACUUCUAUGGAAGGGUGAGCCCUCACAGAUGGAGCAAUGGGGCGCGCACACCUGAACAAGGGAGGGGAAGGAGUUCUUAUCCCUGAUGCAUGUGACCCCUGCUGCUGUGUCCUUCCCCUAUUGGCUAAGGCUUCUGACAGCUUUGGAGAUUGUGACAUUGGAAUAAAGGAAAAACGUACAGGACUCAUGAAGCGCUGAAAUGUUCACAAAUAUCAAGCAAAAGUCAAUGAAAUUUAUUUUGAGCUAUUUACAUCAUUUAAUAAUUGAGCAAGGUAUACUCCUAUGAACAAAAUUUGGAGCAUGUUUGUCUCUCUCUGCCUGGCGUCUUCAGAAUUUGGAAACUAGUUGUCAGGAGUUAACUUUUAUGUGACAAGCUUUACUAGGUCAGGAGCCUAUCGCUGUUUAUAUUCUCUGCAAAGUUUUAAUUGUGAAAAAGGAUUUGAGAUGGUUUAUAAUCAGCUAUAGAAUUUUAACACGUGCUCUCAAAUGCAAGUUUCUGAUAACUUUGGAGAUUGUGACAUUGGAAUAAAGGAAGAGCUGGAAUGUUCAUGAAUAUCAAGCAAAAGUCAUGGAAAUUUAUUUUGAGCUAUUUACAGCAUUUAAUAAUUGAGCAAGGUAUACUCCUAUGAACAAAAUUUGGAGCAUGUUUGUCUCUCUCUGUCUGCCUGGCAUCUACAGAAUUUGGAAACUAGUUGUGCUGUACUGCAUGAGAAUGCCUGCAUUUAGUAUGCGAACUGGAAUUGGCAAAGGACGAUGGCUGCUCUCCCGCUAACUUUAAAUAAGUCAUGUCACAAAUUGCAUUCGUUCCCAGAUUUCCUAAACUUUCCAGAGAAAAUGGUCUUCUCCCUGGCUCAGCAAGAAGAUGAACUUUAAACACUGAGAAACUGGUCAUCUCCCUGGCUCAACCAGAAGAUGAACUUUAAACACUACUCUCAAUGACUUGAUGUUCCCAUCACUACUCCUGUCAUAAAGGGAGGGGACUCAGAUAUUGAGAAUUUUAUGAUAGUGUGAACUGUCUGCUGUCAGCCAGGAGGGCAGAGCUGAAAUUUAUUGCCACAUCACAUGAAGCAUAGAACAGACUCCACUACUCCUUGAGAUUCAAAACUUUGCCUCUCACAAAGUUACCUUUUAUUUUCCUCUUGUUUGUCACUCAUCUCCCCUAGUGUGCUCUUUUUAUUUCUUUUACUAUUAAUAAUAAAAUCUGUGGAUGACUG